GCUGACGAGUGGCGGACGGGUGAGUAAUGUCUGGGAAACUGCCUGAUGGAGGGGGAUAACUACUGGAAACGGUAGCUAAUACCGCAUAACGUCCCAAGACCAAAGAGGGGGACCUUCGGGCCUCUUGCCAUCGGAUGUGCCCAGAUGGGAUUAGCUUGUUGGUGGGGUAACGGCUCACCAAGGCGACGAUCCCUAGCUGGUCUGAGAGGAUGACCAGCCACACUGGAACUGAGACACGGUCCAAACUCCUACGGGAGGCAGCAGUGGGGAAUAUUGCACAAUGGGCGCAAGCCUGAUGCAGCCAUGCCGCGUGUAUGAAGAAGGCCUUCGGGUUGUAAAGUACUUUCAGCGGGGAGGAAGGGAGUAAAGUUAAUACCUUUGCUCAUUGACGUUACCCGCAGAAGAAGCACCGGCUAACUCCGUGCCAGCAGCCGCGGUAAUACGGAGGGUGCAAGCGUUAAUCGGAAUUACUGGGCGUAAAGCGCACGCAGGCGGUUUGUUAGUCAGAUGUGAAAUCCCCGGGCUCACCUGGGAACUGCAUCUGAUACUGG
RNAcentral lists this ribosomal RNA (551 nucleotides) under Shigella flexneri. RNAcentral's name for it is "bacterial SSU rRNA". It matches the Rfam family "Bacterial small subunit ribosomal RNA", at positions 87 to 636 of the family's 1533-position model. The record is from RNAcentral. Lineage: Bacteria; Pseudomonadati; Pseudomonadota; Gammaproteobacteria; Enterobacterales; Enterobacteriaceae.